Trichechus manatus latirostris (Florida manatee) is the source of this 3958-nucleotide RNA transcript. It is a transcript of the gene named SPT20 homolog, SAGA complex component, with no coding region annotated. The record is from RefSeq and is a predicted model, not a curated record. The transcript has 23 exons. Lineage: Eukaryota; Metazoa; Chordata; Mammalia; Sirenia; Trichechidae.
CUUUCUUUCUUAAUGUUAUAUAAAAUAAUGAUGUAUGUAAUUGAUAGAUCUUAAAUUCAUUGUAAUAUGGUAAUGAUGACCAUCAUUUAAUGCAUUUCUUCUAGACACUGAGCUAGAAACCCUAUAUUAUAGGUUCUUUGCAUAUGUUAGGAAUUUCUAAGUUGAUGAUUAGGUACCAAACCUCACCGCACUCCCAGUUUUCAGGAUUCUUAGCAGAUAGGAGAGUUGUCUUAGUUUCAUACUUUAUGGUUAGUAGAGUUUCCUGUAUUGUGCUUUUCGAAUGUAGAAGAAAUUGGGGUUUGUAUGUCACGGAAGACAAGCCUGGCAAUCCCCUUUGGCUUCUGCUUCCGAUCAUCUGUUACAGCCUUGAACACCCUAUGGAGCAGUUCUACUCUGCAUGCAUGGGUUCGCCAUGAGUUGACGUGGACUUGAAGGCAACAGACAAGAAAAAUGGUGGUAGCUGCCUUAUCCUACCCUGUGUAACAGCCUGACAAGCUUAAACCGCAGAAAAACAGUCUUAGCAUUUCUUAUCUAGUUUGUUGCCAUAAUCAGAUGCCCAAGACUGCCACAUUUUUUCUUUUAACAUGUCUUCAGCAUACAAUGCAGUGGAUUAGAGAAAUUAAAGGAAAUAUAUUAGGCCCAUUUUAAAAAAUAGAACACAUUUUAAAUUCUUAAUUAGAAAUGUUGAAUGUAUAUUCAGUUAUUUAUUGUGAAAAUCACUAAUAUUACCAAAUACACUAUUUACUUUUUACAGCAACAAGCUUUAGAACUAGCUUUGGAUCGUGCAGAGUAUGUCAUUGAAAGUGCCCGACAGAGACCUCCUAAAAGGAAAUACUUAUCUGGUGGAAGAAGAUCUGUAUUUCAAAAACUUUAUGACUUAUAUAUUGAAGAAUGUGAAAAAGAGCCAGAGGUUAAGCAGAAAUUAAGAAGAAAUGUGAACUUGUUAGAGAAGCUUGUUAUGCAAGAGACAUUGUCAUGUCUAGUGGUUAACCUAUACCCAGGAAAUGAGGGAUAUUCUCUGAUGCUCAGGGGAAAAAACGGAUCAGAUUCUGAGACCAUUCGAUUGCCUUAUGAAGAAGGGGAAUUGCUUGAAUACUUGGAUGCAGAAGAAUUACCUCCUAUUUUGGUUGAUCUCCUGGAAAAAGCUCAGGUUAAUAUUUUUCAUUGUGGCUGUGUCAUAGCAGAAAUACGUGACUACAGGCAGUCCAGUAAUAUGAAAUCUCCUGGUUACCAAAGUAGGCAUAUUCUUUUACGUCCAACAAUGCAGACUUUGAUCUGUGACGUACAUUCAAUAACAAGUGAUAACCAUAAAUGGACCCAGGAAGACAAACUGUUGCUUGAGAGCCAACUGAUCUUGGCUACAGCUGAACCACUGUGUCUUGACCCUUCUGUAGCAGUAGCCUGCACUGUUAACAGACUGCUCUAUAACAAGCAGAAGAUGAACACACGCCCAUUGAAACGGUGUUUCAAGAGGUAUUCUAGGUCUUCUCUCAAUCGGCAGCAGGAUCUGUCUCAUUGCCCACCUCCUCCUCAGCUAAAAUUACUUGAUUUCUUACAAAAAAGAAAAGAAAGAAAAGCAGGUCAGCAUUAUGACCUCAAAAUCUCUAAAGCAGGAAAUUGUGUAGAUAUGUGGAAACAGAGUCCCUGUAAUUUGGCCAUACCUUCUGAAGUGGAUGUAGAGAAAUAUGCUAAAGUGGAAAAGUCUAUCAAAUCUGAUGAUUCACAACCGACAGUGUGGCCAGCCCACGAGGUAAAAGAUGAUUAUGUAUUUGAAUGUGAAGCUGGUAAUCAGUAUCAGAAGACAAAGCUGACCAUUGUGCAGUCACUUGGGGACCCGCUUUACUAUGGUAAAGUACAGCCGUGUAAAGACGAAGAUGGUGGCGGUCAGGCGUCUCCGUCCCACUUCUCUGCAGAUGAUCAUUCAAAUUGGUUCAUUAUUGGAUCAAAAACUGACGCUCAGAGGGUAGUCAAUCAGUACCAGGAAUUGGUCCAAAAUGAAGCCAAAUGUCCAGUCAGGAUGUCACACAGCUCCAGUGGCUCAGCCAGUCUGAGUCAGCACUCUCCAGGCAAAGAAACAGAACAGCCUGAGACGGUGUCAGUUCAGUCUUCAGUACUGGGAAAAGGAGUAAAGCAUCGGCCGCCACCCAUCAAACUUCCCUCAAGCUCAGGAAAUAGUUCCUCAGGUAACUAUUUUACCGCACAGCAGGCGAGCAGCUUUCUUAAAUCUCCAACUCCUCCCCCUGCUUCUAAGCCCCCAAGUCUGUCUCGGAAGUCAUCUGUGGAUCUCAGUCAAGUUAGCAUGCUUUCUCCAGCGGCCUUGUCACCUGCCAGCUCAUCACAAAGAACCACAGCCACCCAAGUCAUGGCAAACUCCCCUGGACUUAACUUCAUCAACGUGUUGGGCUCCGUUUGUGGAGCCCAGGCUUUGAUGAGUGGUUCAAACCCCAUGCUAGGCUGUAACACUGGUGCCGUCACUCCUGCAGGAAUCAAUCUGAGUGGCCUUCUUCCCUCAGGAGGUCUGCUACCAAAUGCACUGCCAGGCGCACUGCCAGCUUCUCAAGCAGGUGUUCCAUUUGGUUUAAAAAAUACUUCAAGUCUCAGGCCCUUAAAUCUACUCCAGCUUUCCGGUGGCUCCCUCAUUUUUAACCCUCUGCAACAGCAGCAGCUCUCUCAGUUUACUCCACAACAACCACCUCAGCAGCCCACCACUUCUAGUCCUCAACAGCCAGGGGAGCAGGGUUCUGACCAAGGCUCGGCCAGUCAGGAGCAGGCCUUAUCUGCUCAGCAAGCUGCUGUUGUUAACCUUGCUGGAGUAGGGAGUUUCAUGCAGUCCCAGGCAGCUGGUAGGUUCUUCAUGGCUUUGUACGCUGAAUUCACCAAAAGUAUCUAAUCUAUGUACAGUCUCACCAUUUUAAUUAUUUUUUCCUUCCCAGGUAAACAAUAACUAUGAAAAAGUAGUCUUUAUCACCUAUUAAAUUGAUUGAUGGCUGUCGAGGUUUUUUCAUUAAUUUCUUUGGCUGUUGAUGAAUUAAAAGAGCUUUGGCUUAAACAUACUGACAGCACGUACGGCCUUCCCUCAGGUUACUGUUCACUAUAAUCCAGCUUCCUAGGAGACCCUGCCAGAACCGGGGUCACUGUUUGCCAGUGUGGUUAUCUCAGUAACUUAGUAACUCUCUGGCUUUCCAGGGUUAUGGAGGCUGUAUUUUUCCAGACCGCAUCAUCUGAUAGCCUGAGUUGCAUGAAAUAAAUCUUAAUGAUUAAUAGCCUAACUUCUGGCAGCCACUUUUAUCAUUUGCCAGAAUGAAAUUGAACUGAAUGACUGUUCACCACUUGGGGUAAUCAAUGGUGAAACAAAGGUUUAUCUUUAAUGAAGACUAUCUUGUCAGUUAAAGACAGUAAUUCUGACUUUACACUAAUUAAAAUCAGCAAGCCCACAUGUAUAAGAAAGCUAAGCAGUGGUGGAGUGUGAGGAUUGAAUGAGUGAACAUGUUGUCAGCGUUAUUACUGUGGGCUUAAUAAGACACCUUUCGGUUAGCAGCUGAGCGCUUAACCACUGCUCCAUCAGGGUUCCUUUAAGAUACCUUUAGAUUCCUACAGUUCCCAGUUUCUGAAUUUAGAAGUCCUUUAGGGCAGAAUAAUAAAAAAGUCUUUAUUUUGGAAAUAAGUAAUUCUCACAUAGAUCCUAACUUAAAGCUAGUGAACUUCCAAGUGGAAAUCUAUAAUUACAUACCUUUACCACACAAGUUAUAAAUUGCCUAAAAUAGCUGUCAUUUAGUGGAAAGAACUCUAACGCUGGAAAAUGAUGAGAAUGUUCCUAGCUCAAGACCUGCCAGUAAUUACCUGGAUGACUAAUUGCGAUUCUUGCAGCAUCAGAUGGCUGUGGCGGCGGCGGCGGCACAAAGAGCUCAGCUACGUCGGCAUCGCCAUCCAGGCAGCCAGUCAGGAAGUAAGGUGAAGA